AUGGGGACGCAAGCGGCGCCGGCGGCUAGCGAGAUCGCGGCGGUGGGUGUGAUCGGCGCGGGGCAGAUGGGCUCGGGCAUCGCCCAGCUCGCCGCCGCCGCCGGCUGCGGCGUCUUCCUCCUCGACUCCGACCCCGCGGCCCUCUCCCGUGCCGUCGCCUCCAUCUCCUCCUCCCUCGGCCGCCUCGUCUCCAAGGGCCAGCUCUCCCAGGUGAAUCCCCUCGCCUCCCCCGCCUCGCAAAUUAGGGCUAAGGUGACGCCGUUCGUUGACAUUUCUAGUCUCGCCUGGUCACAGGCUGCGUGCGAUGAUUCCGUCAAGCGGAUAAAGUGCGUCUCCGAUGUGCAAGAGCUGCGGGGCGUGGAUCUGGUGAUUGAGGCCAUCGUUGAGUCCGAAGACGUCAAGAAGAAGCUGUUCGUGGAGCUGGACAGGAUCACCAAACCUUCUGCCAUUCUUGCGUCCAACACCAGCUCCAUUUCUAUAACCCGGCUCGCCUCAGCUACUAGCCGCCCCUCUCAGGUGAUAGGCAUGCACUUUUUUAACCCUCCUCCUAUAAUGAAGCUGGUUGAAAUAAUACGAGGAGCUGAUACAUCCGAAGAGGUUUUCUCUCAAGUUAAAUCUUUCUCUGAAAGGAUUGGGAAGACCGUUAUAUGCUCACAAGAUUACCCCGGCUUCAUUGUAAACCGCAUCCUAAUGCCGAUGAUUAAUGAAGCAUUUUGGGCACUUUACACUGGGGUAGCAACCAAAGAGGACAUCGACACAGGGAUGAAGCUCGGCACGAAUCAUCCAAUGGGGCCUCUGCAGCUUGCUGACUUCAUAGGGUUAGAUGUUUGCCUUUCAGUACUUAGGGUGCUCCACAACGGGCUAGGAGAUAACAAGUACAGCCCUUGCCCUCUUCUUGUCCAAUAUGUCGAUGCCGGACGACUUGGAAAGAAGCGCGGACUAGGUGUAUACUCUUACAGGAGAAACUCUUCAUCCGUUAAACCCAAAUCAUCUCUGUAA
RNAcentral lists this ribosomal RNA (999 nucleotides) under Triticum aestivum (bread wheat). RNAcentral describes it as "partial small subunit ribosomal RNA". The record is from RNAcentral. Lineage: Eukaryota; Viridiplantae; Streptophyta; Magnoliopsida; Poales; Poaceae.